RNAcentral lists this ribosomal RNA (402 nucleotides) under uncultured Bryobacter sp. RNAcentral's name for it is "bacterial SSU rRNA". It matches the Rfam family "Bacterial small subunit ribosomal RNA", at positions 355 to 774 of the family's 1533-position model. The record is from RNAcentral. Lineage: Bacteria; Pseudomonadati; Acidobacteriota; Terriglobia; Bryobacterales; Bryobacteraceae.
UGGGGAAUCUUGCACAAUGGAGGCAACUCUGAUGCAGCGACGCCGCGUGAGCGAUGAAGCCCUUCGGGGUGUAAAGCUCUUUCGGCAGGAACGAUAAUGACGGUACCUGAAGAAGAAGCUGCGGCUAACUACGUGCCAGCAGCCGCGGUAAUACGUAGGCAGCGAGCGUUGUUCGGAAUUACUGGGCGUAAAGAGUGUGUAGGCGGUGCUCUAAGUUCGGUGUGAAAUCUCCCGGCUUAACUGGGAGGGUGCGCCGGAAACUGGAGUGCUCGAGCGUGGGAGAGGAAAGCGGAAUUCCUGGUGUAGCGGUGAAAUGCGUAGAUAUCAGGAGGAACACCUGCGGUGUAGACGGCUUUCUGGACCAUUGCUGACGCUGAGACACGAAAGCGUGGGUAGCAAACA